GAAGAAGAAGAAGAAGAAGAAGAAGAAGAAGAAGAAGAAGAAGAAGAAGAAACCACCUAAAAUUUUACUCAUAAUUUAAGGAUCACAAGAUACUUUUUUCACAACAACCUUAUGAACUGAAUGGAAGAUGGACUGGAAUGGGAAGAGAUUUGAGGAAGGUUCACCUGCCAGAACACUAAUGCAAUAGUCCAGAUGUGAGGUGAUGAGAGUUUGCAGCUGUGACAGAGGAGAUGGGGAGGACAAUUUGACAGAUGUUGUUAAAGUAAAAAUGACAGGACAUGGAAACAGAUUGGCUAUGUUAGGAGACAUAAUGAUGAUUCAUAUCAAAACAUAUGCUUACUCCAAACCUCAGAGGAAACUUGAGGUCACUGUUCCUGAACUUCGGCCUGCUGGGAAGAGGAGAGGGAAUUUUGAAUUCCCUGGAGCAAAAUCCCAGAAGUUAUCCUUUUAACCACAGAAGGAUAAUUUCCUGGGUAGCAUCAACUUUAUUGGGAAUACCUCUUGAGUGAUCCCAAGUUCAAGAGUGUCAGGGAUCAGACUUCUGAGAAAGAGAGAUUUCCUGAUGCAGAUCUUCUGAUGCUCCUUAGGGAAAGGAAAGGAAAACCAAUGAAUU
Long non-coding RNA from Sarcophilus harrisii (Tasmanian devil), 613 nucleotides. RefSeq lists it as uncharacterized. The record is from RefSeq and is a predicted model, not a curated record. NCBI's taxonomy places the organism in Eukaryota, Metazoa, Chordata, Mammalia, Dasyuromorphia, Dasyuridae. The transcript has 3 exons.